This 387-nucleotide ribosomal RNA is filed under the name uncultured bacterium. RNAcentral describes it as "bacterial SSU rRNA". It matches the Rfam family "Bacterial small subunit ribosomal RNA", at positions 29 to 418 of the family's 1533-position model. The record is from RNAcentral.
AUUGAACGCUGGCGGAAUGCUUUACACAUGCAAGUCGAGCGGCAGCGCGGGGCAACCUGGCGGCGAGCGGCGAACGGGUGAGUAAUGCAUCGGAACAUGUCCAUGUCGUGGGGGAUAGCCCGGCGAAAGCCGGAUUAAUACCGCAUACGCCCGAGAGGGGAAAGCAGGGGACCGCAAGGCCUUGCGCGAUUGGGUUGGCCGAUGUCCGAUUAGCUUGUUGGUGAGGUAAAGGCUUACCAAGGCGAUGAUCGGUAGCUGGUCUGAGAGGAUGAUCCGCCACACUGGAACUGAGACACGGUCCAGACUCCUACGGGAGGCAGCAGUGGGGAAUUUUGGACAAUGGGGGCAACCCUGAUCCAGCCAUGCCGCGUGAGUGAAGAAGGCCUC